UUAGGGAAGACAUGUGCUUUCUUUGGGUUGACUGAGCUAGAAUAUCAGCCUGGAGUGACAGCAGGUAGCCAUUUGUCUCCCAUUCAGUCAUUCAGUAACAGUUUAUUGAAUAGCUGGUAUGUUCCUCACGCCAUUGUAGGCAUUAGGAAUAUGGACAUAAACACAUAAUUCCAACUCUUGGGUUUUCACCAUCCACUUAAGAGGCAAAUAAAAUAAUCACUUUAACAAAAUAUGAGAAAUGUUUCAGAGUAUUACAUUAUUAGGGAAAGGCAGCCAAUUCAGGCAAGGCUUCCCAGAAGAGAAAGCUCUUUGAACCUUGUUGCAUAAUUAGGACUUAACCAGUAGACAGGCUGGUUAGAGUGGUUCCAAAAGAGGAGUCAGUAGGUCUAAAGGCAGGGAGGGGAGGCUCAGCUGGGCAGGCUCGGGCACCCACCAUAUUCAAUCAGACUCAACGGAGUGGGAGGAAAGAAGCUGGAUGGCCAUUGUUUUGGAUUUUUGCUGAAGACAAGAUGCUUCUAAAAGAUUCAAAGCAGGAGUUGCUGCUGCUGCUGCUGCUUCUGCUCUAUCCCAGCAUGACAGCCUGCUGUUACUCACAGCUGGCAGACACUGUGAACUAUGAUGCCACGUCAGCUACUCGGAACCUUUCUGCUUGAGCAACAGUUUCCCAGUGGAAUAAUUUUGUGUGUGGCUCCUGAGGCUGGAAACAUGAUCUGACCACCAUACUGAGAAGGUCUGAGUAAAAGAAGCCAGUACCUGAGAUUAUAGAAAGAAACCACACAAAACACUUCCCAUGACUAAAUAAGAAUUCCAAGGAGAAAUUAAACAGUAUAUUGACUUUCUAAACAAUCAUGACAGCAAGUUGAUAAUGGACAAAAAAAAACACAAACAGGAUUAGAAACUGAAAAAAUAAAAUUUAGAGACUUUUAAUCAGCAUUGUGGAUAUUAGUUCAUUUACAAAGUCCGCAUGAGGUUGGAGUGCACAAAAACCGACUGCUAAAUCUUCGAUAGAGCUGGGGUCUUCCUCUGUGUGGCCAACACACUCCAGAAGUCUACAGAUGUUCUUGCACCCACCUGGAAUGGACAGGCCACGCCAAAGAGAAACGCAGACCUCAUAUACACAGACUGAAAGUCUCGUGCCCGCCCACCACAAGACUGAGUCACAGAUGGGAGAGCAUCUUGGAACUCCCUGGGAGAAGUGACACAAAAGGUGGAAAGCCUGGUUUUGAGCAGAGACAGCACAUCACGAUGGUCACACGCGUGGGUGCUGAAGCUACCCCGCCAGCCUGGGUCCCUGGCUCUGCUACUCUCUGACUCUCCUGAUGUCGGAGAGCUCACCACGCUCCGCUCCUAGUAUCUAGAUCAGAGAAGCACUAAGCAGACCACAAUGGAACCGCCUCUAGGAAACCUACAUGCUCAUGAGGGAGCCAGACAAGCAAACAAAAAUAAAUCCAUCCUGGAACAAUGGACGGUAUACUUCCCUAUGAAGGCAAGAUGAACCCAGGGAGGGCUGUCCCACGGCGAGGUAUGGGAGGGAGUAAGGAGGGCAGAGUGAACUGUAAAUGCAGGGUCUUAAGGCAGCAACACGUUUGGCCUAUUGGAGGAGUGAGAAGGCCAGAGGCUCCGUAGGGAGCUGGUCUGGAGAGAGAAGGUGCAAAAGAGCAUCCGGAAGGGAGGCGAGUGACCCGGUAGGGGCAUGAAGCAGAGGGCAGGCAGAACGGAGCAGCCACCUGAGCUCUUCCCUCACAAAGUGACGACCAGGAAGCAGCUGUGUGUUUUCAUCCAGCCACAGUCUGACAUUUGGUGCCUAUGGGCAGAUGCGAAUAGGCUUCCCAAAUAAGGUUCUGAAGUGCAGCCAGGGUUGAGACUGGCUGAUCUAUGUGGGCCACCCAGCAAGAGUGAGGACAGAAGCGCUGGUGAGCAGGGUGCAGUGAGCCAGCAGGGCCCAGAGCCUCAACUGGAUGAGGCGUGAGUGCAGGGUGGGGGACCACCUACCGCAGCAUGGGAGGUUUAUGCAGAUUAGGUGGCCUCUCCUUCAAAGCAAUGGUGUGAUUGCCAGGGGGAGAAAGUUAAAAAAAAAAAAAAAAACUGGUGGGGAAGGGUCAGGGGGGAAUAAGGGUCUGGAAAUGGCCAUGAGGAGCAAAGCAGGAUCCUACCCCACCAUCAGGCCCUGGGACCCCAGAUCCCUAGGAGUAAGUCAGGUAUCAGUCAGAGCAAAAAGGUGAGGGGGACAUUCAGAGAAGAUGGUGAGGACACUGGGUGUGAGGGUGCAGCUUGGGGGUUAGGAGGGUGAGAGAUAAAGUCAAAUGAGACAUACAGAGCUAUGUGGACAGGAGGGCGUGGGGGUCCCAGACUGAGGUCAUCACAAGGGAAGGCACCAUGGGAUUAGCACCAAGGUCUUUCAGCGAAGGUGAGUGACCAAUUCUAAUUAGAGCCUCCCUCUUGUGUUUUAUUUAGACUCCCUGGCAGCACACUCAUUUCCUGCAGCUGCCAUAACAAACUGCCAUAGACUAGGCAGAUUAAAACAAAGGAAUUGAUCUCUCACAGUUCUGGAGGCUGAAAGUCUGAACUCACGCGUCGGCAGGGCCCUGCUCCCUCUGAAGGCUCUGUGGGAGGACCUUCCUCUCCGCUUCUUAGCUUCUCCUGGCUCCCGGCAAUCCUUGGCUUGUAGCCCCAUCACUCCAAUGUCUGCCUCAGUCUCCCCACGGUCAGUCUUCCCUCUGUGUGUGUCCACAUCUCCCUCUACUGAAAAAGGCACCAGUCACUGCACGAAGGCCACCCAGUAGGACCUCAUCUUAGCUUCAUUGCAGCUAUGAAGACCCUGUUUCUCAAAAAGGUCACAUUCACAGGUACCAGUGGCUAGGAUUUCAGCAUGCCUUUUGCAGGGACACAGUCGAACCCACAAUAGGCACUUCGUGGAGGUGAUGUGACAGCCAGGAAUACUGUUCUUCCCCGAAGAACACAGGCUCUAAUGAAGCCUGUGUUACUAUGAAGUAACUAUGAAGCGCUCUGAGAGCCUGUCAUAGCAGAAGAGGGUACGGUGUAGGCCUCCUUUAUAGAUCUCUGUCCCCUGAGCUUGGUGGCCCACCUCAACCCCACCAGAAUAAAAAAUCAGAGCUGGUUCAGGGAAAACCCAUCCUCAUAGUGGAUAAACAACUCAAACAAACUUUGGGUUCAUGGCAAGUCAGCAGUAUCUGUCAAUACCCAAUAGAAUGUAUUUGAUGAGAAGCUAGCUACACAUUGACCAGAUAAGAAAAGCUACAGGACUUCCUACUCUCUCACCAUGAGCAGCAAUCAGUGAAACUGGAGAGAGAAAGACAAAGAAAAUCACCUCUGUGUGCUACGGAACCCAUCUGGUUGACGGGUCACAUCCUCCAGCAAUCAGCUAUCACGAACUAAGGGCCUAUUAUUGCAACAACUGACACAAGGAAAAGAAAGUGUGUUGCACCAUGCAAGGAACUUACCCACCAGCUGGGGGCAUGAAGAAAGUGGAGCCACAUAUUAAAGGUGAAGAAAUCGAGAUUCACACACACCAAGUGGUUUGCUUGCCCAAGAUCAAAGAGCUUAGAAGUUUCCAAGUCAGGAAUCGAACCCAAGUCUUUUAUCCUUAAACCCAUGGCUUUUCUGGCAAAACAUGGAUGGGAGAGUCGGGUUUUGGAUAGGUAAGGAAAAACAAGGAGAGUAUGUUAUAUGUGGGUAAUAGGAUUAAUGUUUAAUUAUUACAUUUAGCCAAUCAGCUCCUGAGAGCCAGCCUGUGUUUCCAGAAGCUGCUGUCAAUUCUUCAGUUUUUCCCAUAUCUGGGUCAGUAAGAAGAGGAUCACAAGGUCUCCUUGUGGUUAUUUUUAAGGAAAAAAAAACUUUAAAGAAAAGGAAAGGAUGAAAAUGAACAAAGUGAGAAAUCUUACAAGCUGAAUUCAAAGGGGAAUCAUUCGACAGGAACAGCUGGGUUACUGACCCGGACUUGGAACCUGCCGGGAGGGUCCCCGGUGGAUCACAGUGGUUCCUGGCCCCACCGGAACUGAGGGGGGGGUGGCCUGGAGUCUACAUCAGAGGGUGGACCUGGGACACAGCAGAAACCGGAGGCAGGAGGCCCCCCUUCCCCAUGCCUGCUUUUUUUAAAGCACCAUUACCCUUGAUCCUUUAUUCAGAUAAUAAAGGGAGACAGAAAUCCAGGGGGCCCGUUCCAGCUCUUACCACUGGCUUUUGCGCUUUCAGAACAACAAAAAAAAGGCAGGGGAAUCUUUUAAGCAAUCACCGUAUGUUGCAGGAAAGUGGCACCAAUUGACGUGUGACUGCUGUUCCUAAGAGAGAGAUUCUGAGUGCCCCUUGAUGGGCUUUUCUGCGACGAAUCAGUGGUAAUGCAAACCCCCUGCCCAGCUUUCCCAUCCACUCAAAGACGCCAGGAAAGAAGCUGUACGUGCCAGAAAACAGAUCUCCCAGGACCUCAGAGUGAGAGGCUUCUGCAAAGCAUCCCACAGUGUCACGUGACAGCACAGAAUGGGUUUCUCUUUUUUUUCUGCCUUUAUUUUAUUUUUUUAAAUAUAUUUUAUUAAUUAUGCCAUUACAUUUGUUCUAUUUCCCCCUUCAUUUCCCUGCACCCUGCAUACCUCCUCCCCCACCAUCCCCCCUUUAGUUUAUGACCACGUGUCUCAAGUUCUUUAGAUUCUAUAUUUCCCAUACUAUUCUUGCCCUCCCCCCUAUCUAUUUUCUACCUACCGUCUAUGCUACUUAUUUUCUGUGCCUUCUCCCCCCUUCUCCUCCUCCCACUCCCCUGUUGCUAACCAUCCAUGUGAUCUUCAUUUCUAUGGUUCUGCUCCUGAUCUAGCUGUCCUUAGUUUCCUUUAGUUUUAGGUGUGGUUCUUAAUAACUGUGAGUUUGCUGUCCUUUCACUGUUCAUCUUUUUUAUCUUCUUUUUCUUAGGUAAGUCCCUUUAACAUUUCAUAUAAUAAGGGCUUGGUAAUGAUGAAUUUCUUGAAUUUGAUCUUAUCUGAGAAGCACCUUAUCUGUCCUUCCAUUCUAAAUGAAAGCUUUGCUGGAUAGAGCAAUCUUGGUUGUAGGUCUUUGGAUUUCAUGACUUGGAAUACCUCUUUCCAGCCCCUUCUUGCCUGUAAGGUCUCUUUUGAGAAAUCCGCUGACAGUCUGAUGGGAACUCCUUUGUAGGUGACUGUCCCCUUAUCCCAUGCUGCUUCUAGAAUUCUCUCCUUCAUUUUAAGCUUGGCUAAUGUAAUUAUGAUGUGCCUUGGUGUGUUUCUUCUUGAGUCCAACUUCUUUGGGACUCUCUGAGUUUCUUGGAUUUCCUGGAAGUCUAUUUCCUUUGCCAGAUUGGGGAAGUUCUCCUUUAUUAUUUAUUCAAAUAAGUUUUCCACUCGUGGCCAUUCCUCUUCCCCUUCUGGUACCCCUAUAAUUCGGAUGUUGGAACGUUUAAAGAUGUCCUGAAGGUUCCUAAGCCUCUCCUCAUUUUUUUGAAUUCUUCAUCCUUUUCUGUUUGGUCAUUUUUUUCCUCCUUCUGGUCCACUCCUUUGAUUUGAGUCCCAGUUUCCUUUCCAUUACUAUUGGUUUCCUGUGUAUUACCAUUCAUUUCAAUUAGUUUAGCCUUCAUAUGUUCCUCUAAUUUGUGACUAAAAUCAACCAGUUCUGUGAGCAUCCUGAUCACCAGUGUUUUGAACUGUGCAUCUGAAAGUUUGGCUAUUUCUUCAUCGCUUAGAUUUAUCAGCUCUGGGGCUCUGAGCUGUUCUUGAGCCAUGUUUUGAUCUGUUCUUGUCUGUUACAUAUGAGGAGCGGAGCCUUAGUUGUUUACCAGGGUGGGGACACCCAAGUCGCUGAUUUGUGAUGCUGUAUGUGGGGGUGUGGUCAGAGAGGGGCCACUCAGGUCGCUGGUUUGUGAUGCUGUAUGUGGGGGCAGGGUCAGAGAGGGAUAAUGGUGGUUCCCUCUGCCGCUUCCUGCCACUGGGACCUGCACGGUCUGUCUCACCGCUCCCUCCUUCACCAGUUUAUCUGCACGUGAAUGUGUGACCGUGAUCAGCCCUCAAUGGGUCCACCGCCUUGCGCCCUCAGUGGGUCCACUCGCUUCUCCACACCUGGGAUCCACCCAUGGCUGCUGGCACACCUGGGUUGUGUGCCCAGGUCGGUCAGGUGGAUCUUUCCUGCCCAACCCUGAUCUGCUGCUGGCUCUGCCCCUCUUACUGGUUUGGCUGAAGGGUUUGUUGUUGUCAGACUUCCGUAUAGUUCAAUUUUCUGUGGUUUGGCUGCGUUUUUGUUGCUAAAACUUUGGUGUUUUUAAACUUAGUUCUGGGAGAAGGCACAGUGCUUCCACCUACAUCUCCAUCUUGGUGGAAGUCCUGGGUUUCUCUAGGGUCCACAACACGGGGUCCCCUGCAGGGGGCAGUGCCAGAUACAGGUCCGUAGUCUAAGGAAGCCAUUCCCUCCCUGGUCGCGUCUCUAACCCAGGGCCCUGGUCAUGGGCAGUGUGGCUCUAAGUGUUGAACAGCACUGAAGGAGAAGAUUCACAGACACACACCGAGAUUGCCGGGCAGCCCCAGCGCUCUCUCUGGGCGGCAGCGUGUACUCUGGGGUUCCUGGAAAAUCAAGGUCAAUGCGAUCUUGUUUUACUGAGAAACUGGCCUUCGGCUGGGCCCUGAAUGGGUGCAACUUGCACAGGAAGGAAAUGGCCGGGAGAUCUGUUUCUUCAGGCGCUGCGUGUAACACAGACAGAAGCGAGCAAAACACACGCCCAGUCCCUGCUUUCACCGAGCCUGCAGUCUAGCCAUCGGAGGUCUCCUGUUGGCAUUAGAGUAGAGGGCACUGGUGGGCGUGGCGGAAGCUGACACUUGUUUAGGGCGGAUGCUUUGCCAAGCAGCCUGCUAAGUGCUUCCCAAAUGGGGGCAUCAUGUGGUCCUCGCUGCCGCUCAAGGAUAAAGGGGGUUGGCAUGAUCAUCUUUUUACGGGUCGGAAGCUGAGCCCGCGCAGCUAGCUAGUGGUAAAGCCGAAACUCAAAUCCAGGGCUGCCUGGCUCAGGGGCCAUCCCCCUUCCCCUCACCCCUGUGGGAAAUGAGGUCAGGUAAGGCUGUGUGGGGCAGGGCUUGGAGGCCGGGUGAGGCCCUUUCCUCUUCUCUCUGGAGGAAACGAGGUGUUUUGUUACAGCUCUCUCCUCCUGAUGUUGCCAUGCACCUCGCCCCCCAAAGUUCGGUUCCCAAGGGAAACAAAAUUCAGAGGACCAUCGAUCGGUCCCGGCAAGACAAAUCCUCUCUCUCCAAAUCUCUAUCAGCCUUCUUUCCACAGUGAACUGCAAUGACUAUCGUGGAAGGAAAUUUCAGUCGUAUUUUUCUCUCCCUCAAAUCCCAAACCUGGGAGAAGCCACAGGAAACCAGUGUCCAUGGUUUUUCUCCUCCAGCCCCUGUACUGGUCCCUUCUUCAUUCUCCCAAGAUCCACAAGAACCCUCAAAGUCUCCCAGAGACCAGAAGGCCCAUCAUUCUUUAGGCAGCAUCUCACCAGCAAAAUGUCCAAAGGAGAAGAGAGGCUUGCGAAGUCCCCCCCGCCCUUCAGUUGCCCACCUGCCUUCACAGGGAGAGAAUGGGAAGGAGAGAAGAGCCGUCUGCACGUUCUCCACCUCCUGAGAAGAUCAGAGGUUAGUCCUCGACCUCCAUCCCCUUCUUCAUUUCUGAAUCGACAAACACUGCUCCCUGACAAGGCCAGGAUCAAGAAGGACAAGGUGAAGGUUGAGCCACCUGGAGAGCAGAGCUGAAAAUGCUGAAACAGAACUGGAAACCCUUACGCUCAUAAAGAUAAUAACUGCUCAUCAACCGCAGAGCACGUUCAGAAACAUCACUUCAUUUGACUCUCACAAUGAAUUCUCUCGGCCCUCCGCAUCAAUUGAAGUGCCCUUCUGCAGACCUUGGCUGGCUCGGGGUGUCUUUAAGGCACAUCAGCUCAUGGGCCCCCUAUCACUUUGUCCAUUAUUCUGUAUGAAAGAGCACAAUGAAUUCAGCUAAAAUAAAGUGUGGAGCUGUUAGAGAUACUUUAAAUAUCCAACUGUAUUUUGUUCCAUGUCGGCCCAGCCUAGGCUGCAAAAAAUAUGCAUUUUGCUUUCACUCUGAAAUGAAUUUGAGCACACUGGUCCUGAGCAACCAUGUUGUCUCUUAUGAAAAUGACCCUUUGCAAAGUGCUUUCACAUACAUGAUCUUAUUUGACCCUCGCAUGAACCACAUGAGGCAGAAAGCACAUAUUAUUAUCCUCAUUUUUUCACAUGAGAAACAUAAAAAGGUGAGUCCCACCCAAGGUCAAACCGCUGGAAUCAGGGCCCCAGGGGCUGGCUCUGCAUCGAGAGGAAGAGGCCCUACUCACUGUGCAGUGCCAGCUUCCUUACAACCACUUGUGACUUAUUUAAAUCACCAAACGACCACCUCCGAGUCUUUCAGCCGCCCACAGCAGUCACGAAAUAUUCUACGGUUCCGUUGAAAGAAAAAAGGUUAGGGUUGGUCCAGUCCCUCUUGCCUUCUCUCUACACGCUCCCCGGGGGAACUCUCUGCCACGUCCUGGGUAUCAAUGUCACCUCCUUGCAAAUGAUGCCCAAACUGGUGUCUGGGAUAUAAAACUGCAUACUCGCUAUCUCCUGGAUGUCUCAGUAUACACAAAAUUCUGCCCCCAUCCUAUGCCCUCCACUGCCGAAACCCAGUUCCCUUUUGACACGCCUCCUCUCCAAUGCCUAUCCAGGAAUCUAGGCAUCAGCCAGGCCUUUCCUUCUCCUGACCCCGCCCACAUCCAAGCUGACACCCAAUCCUUUCCCUUUUCCCUCCUGCAUAGCUCACUGUCCUGUCCACUUCUCUCCCCCUCCGCCCACACCAAUCUGGGGCCAAGACACCAUCAUCUCUCAUUAGGACUCAUGGACACCUAGUUGGUCUAUUCCUCCCCAAACCUUCACCACAUAAAAGGAGUUCUUCCAAAAAUGCCAUUCUGGUGGUGCCACCCUAACCCACUCUGCUUAGACACUUCAGUGGUAUCACACCGCUGUCAGGGCAACGGCAAAACACCCCUAAACAGCCCACGGGUCCCAGUCUAGUCUGGUCCCCACCUCCAGCCUCUUCUCCAGCCCAGCCCCUGCAGCCUUCCUUCAGCAGGUUCCUCUCACUGUGCUUGGUUUCGCCCCAGUGGCCUAGAAUAUGCCUCCCUGCUUAAAUUCCCAGAAUUAGAUUGCCAGAAGGCUCCGCCUUCAGAUGGAGAUUCAAGGGUCUUUCCUCAGGGAAAGCUUUCUGGACCUCCCUGAGUUAAAUUCCCCAUCAUAUUUUGCAUGGCACUGGCUUGGCAUGGUUUGUGAAUUUAAUUAACAUCUGUCUCCCCACUAGACGUCUAACCUUUUGCUCGCCGUCAUGCUCCCUGUGCUGUGCUGAUCUUAGCAUAUAAAUGAGCAUCAAGGAAUGUUUGUUAAAUAUAUGAGUGAACCCAUUACCAAGGAGAUAGCCGUAUAGGCUCAACACCCUCCUUAUGGAAUAGUAAGCAACUGCCACAAAAAUUGAGAUGAGUAUGUUUACUAACAUGGAAUGAUGUCCGUGACAUAUUAUUGCCUUACCACAGUGCGUCACAGAACACUAUGCAUAGAAUUAUCAGCAGUUUUUAAAACUUAUGUGUCUUUACUUUAAAACACACACCAACAACCUCCGUGAGUGUGCACAUGUGUUUAAAUGUGUUUUACAAAGCCCGUGAGACUAACACCAGCUGCUUUCAGUGGGUUCCCUGGAGAAUGGGGAUGAGAGAGCGUACAGAGAAACAGGGUCAUUUCUACUCAUAAACUCCUGUCCGGCUAGACUUUUUUUCCAUGACCAUGUGAUGUUGCUGUCAUUAUUUUAACAAUACCACUUUUCAAAUAACAAAGCAAUUCACUGAAGUUCAGGAAACUGUUUCUAAAUACAUCAAAAAAAGGGGGCAGAAAACAACUUUGUAUACGAUUCCUUGACAAUGAUAAACCCAAAGAACAGCCGAGACAUAGACGCCAAGCGGAAGAGAACAACUAGUCAAGGCAGCGUGUGUUCGUUGAGGUCUUCCCUGCCCAUGACCUGUCCCAAAAUUUUUUGAAAAAACAGUUGCUCUUGGAUUUACUCAUACAGUAUUAGAAGGAAAUCUAACAGAAAGAAUAGCAUGAGUUUUUCCUACUUUACUUAGAUUUUUUUUCUGUUAAAUAGAAAUGAUCAUGUGAAGACACCUUUAUUUUCUCUUAGUGGCCAAAUAACAAGUCUUUUGUUGUCCCUGCUGUAGCUCAAAUAGAAAAGAUGGCUUCCUAAAGCCACGCAGAGGACAGUAAGGAGCAGGGGCAGAUAGACCGGUGACGUGCAGGCACGAUUAUUCCAAAGCUAAUAGCACAGAACCUCACCUGGGUGGCUGAGAGAGGGGGGUGCAGUCUGCAGACCCGUUACAGGAAAGGGGAGGCAGGUGAGUGGGAGUGGAGCUCGCCCCCCUCCCCACCCCAAGGCGGCCUCCGGGGUGAGCUGGGCAAGUCUGUGAAUACAGAACAAUGCUGCGCUUGGAGCUACGCUGAGUCUUUUUUCAGACUAAUGGCUCAGGCGGUGGAACUACCCAAAGAUGACUAAAAUGUGAGUCAAAUGCUUUCAAAUCAAAUUAUUCCAGUGAAGCAGGAACGCAGGCACACAGAGAACAGGCCAUUAGGAGUUCUAAGCAGUACCUGUGUGUGAAACUUGAAGAAAUUUGCUCUCCUUAAUGACUGCCUCUUUCAAUCUAAGUCAUUUUGUCAGCAGUGAGCUGGGGACAAUCGGUCUUUAUUACUAGUGACACCCUCGGAUCAGCUGGGCUUGCGCACUUUGCCGACCCUGAUUGGACCUCCUUCUCCCCCGAGGUCCGCCCAGCAGGUCUUCAGUUAUCCCAGAGGGCGUCAGGAAAUUCUAAAAUUAGCCUCCAAGUUGGUGUCUUGGUAAUUUUGAAAACCAACUUUCACUUAAAUACAAAGCGCUCACAUUAAGGAGAAGACAGGUUGGGGGAAGGCAGAUGAGGAGCAGCAUGUCAUCAAAUGGAACCACAGGGCACACAGUCCCCAGAGGGCUGAACUGUGGCAUCUGCGCCUGGAAGAGACACCAGCCGGUGCUCUGCCCGGCUUGGGGGGCCAUGGGGAGGGAAGCACCAGGGGCCCCUCUACAGACAAGUGGGCAGUUUCCCUGACGUCUGUCCCCUCCCUCCCCCUUUCUUCACUAAUUGCUCGGAAUUGCUCAGUUUCACAUUCUUUCCCCCAAAUGUUUGCUCCCUAUUUUGCAAUCCAGUUCCUCCACAGUUUUAUGGGUUUUUUUU
Long non-coding RNA from Artibeus jamaicensis (Jamaican fruit-eating bat), 11284 nucleotides. RefSeq lists it as uncharacterized. NCBI's taxonomy places the organism in Eukaryota, Metazoa, Chordata, Mammalia, Chiroptera, Phyllostomidae. The record is from RefSeq and is a predicted model, not a curated record. The transcript is spliced from 8 exons.